Molecule: long non-coding RNA, 343 nt
Organism: Scophthalmus maximus (turbot)
Lineage: Eukaryota; Metazoa; Chordata; Actinopteri; Pleuronectiformes; Scophthalmidae
Exons: 3
Source: RefSeq, a predicted model, not a curated record
GUGCUCGCCGAUGGGUGAACCGUCUCCUGUUGAGGAGGUGGCGUGAGGCAGAACUCUUCCUUCUCCUGCUGCAGCAGGUGUCUGAGGAUGACCUUGGACAGGAAGUGAGGGUCGUCCUCACGCUCGUCUAGAGGAGGAAAAGGAAAAAGAUUUACUACUAAAGCUGUCCGUGGAAACACAAAUCCUGAUAGUCGGUCUGUCCCAUACCACAAGCGGAAAGGAAAGAACGAGACCUGAGAAAAAACAAGACGGCGGUAUUGGAGUGUCAGGUCUUGAUCUCACCAGGACCCCCAGGCUUUUAAACAGCGCAUACAGAGCCGACACCAGGAAGACGAGUUUCCAG